GAAAGAACCAACAGGGAUUGCCUCAGUAACGGCGAGUGAAGCGGCAACAGCUCAAAUUUGAAAUCUGGCUCCCCUGGGGGCCCGAGUUGUAAUUUGUAGAGGAUGCUUCGGCGUGGGCCCCGGUCUAAGUUCCUUGGAACAGGACGUCACAGAGGGUGAGAAUCCCGUACGUGGCCGUGGGUGCUCGCCAUGUGAAGCUCCUUCGACGAGUCGAGUUGUUUGGGAAUGCAGCUCUAAAUGGGAGGUAAAUUUCUUCUAAAGCUAAAUACUGGCCAGAGACCGAUAGCGCACAAGUAGAGUGAUCGAAAGAUGAAAAGCACUUUGGAAAGAGAGUCAAAAAGUACGUGAAAUUGUUGAAAGGGAAGCGCUUGCAACCAGACCUGCCUGCGGUUGCUCAUCCGGGCUCCUGCCCGGUGCACUCUUCCGCAGUCAGGCCAGCAUCAGCUCUGGCGGUCGGAUAAAGGCGGCGGGAAUGUGGCUCCCCUCGGGGAGUGUUAUAGCCCGCCGUGCAAUGCGGCCAGCCGGGACUGAGGUCCGCGCUUCGGCUAGGAUGCUGGCGUAAUGGUUGUAAGCGGCCCGUCUUGAAACACGGACCAAGGAGUCUAACAUCUGUGCGAGUGUUUGGGUGUCAAGCCCAGGCGCGUAAUGAAAGUGAACGGAGGCGGGAACCUUCGGGUGCACCGUCGACCGAUCCUGAUGUCUUCGGAUGGAUUUGAGUAAGAGCAUAGCUGUUGGGACCCGAAAGAUGGUGAACUAUGCCUGAAUAGGGUGAAGCCAGAGGAAACUCUGGUGGAGGCUCGCAGCGGUUCUGACGUGCAAAUCGAUCGUCAAAUUUGGGCAUAGGGGCGAAA
Molecule: ribosomal RNA, 851 nt
Filed under: Rhytidhysteron neorufulum
Lineage: Eukaryota; Fungi; Ascomycota; Dothideomycetes; Hysteriales; Hysteriaceae
Description: partial large subunit ribosomal RNA
Rfam family: Eukaryotic large subunit ribosomal RNA
Source: RNAcentral